UUUCCGUAGGUGAACCUGCGGAAGGAUCAUUAUUGUAUAACCGAGGUGCGAGGGCUGUCGCUGACCCGAAAGGUCGUGGACGCCCGAGUGCCCUCACACACAUCCCUCUCACCCCUAUGUGCACCACCGCGUGGGUCCCCCUUUGGCUUGUUCGGAGGGGGGCUUACGUUUUCACACAAACUUUGUAUGCAGUGUAGAAUGUAUUUUUGUUUUUGCGAUCACGCAAUCAAUACAACUUUCAACAACGGAUCUCUUGGCUCUC
RNAcentral lists this unclassified non-coding RNA (262 nucleotides) under plant metagenome. RNAcentral describes it as "partial contains small subunit ribosomal RNA, internal transcribed spacer 1, and 5.8S ribosomal RNA". The record is from RNAcentral.